RNAcentral lists this ribosomal RNA (1142 nucleotides) under Klebsiella pneumoniae. Its description in RNAcentral is "bacterial SSU rRNA". It matches the Rfam family "Bacterial small subunit ribosomal RNA", at positions 41 to 1170 of the family's 1533-position model. Lineage: Bacteria; Pseudomonadati; Pseudomonadota; Gammaproteobacteria; Enterobacterales; Enterobacteriaceae. The record is from RNAcentral.
GGCGCAGCCUACCAUGCUAGUCGAGCGGUAGCACAGAGAGCUUGCUCUCGGGUGACGAGCGGCGGACGGGUGAGUAAUGUCUGGGAAACUGCCUGAUGGAGGGGGAUAACUACUGGAAACGGUAGCUAAUACCGCAUAACGUCGCAAGACCAAAGUGGGGGACCUUCGGGCCUCAUGCCAUCAGAUGUGCCCAGAUGGGAUUAGCUAGUAGGUGGGGUAACGGCUCACCUAGGCGACGAUCCCUAGCUGGUCUGAGAGGAUGACCAGCCACACUGGAACUGAGACACGGUCCAGACUCCUACGGGAGGCAGCAGUGGGGAAUAUUGCACAAUGGGCGCAAGCCUGAUGCAGCCAUGCCGCGUGUGUGAAGAAGGCCUUCGGGUUGUAAAGCACUUUCAGCGGGGAGGAAGGCGUUAAGGUUAAUAACCUUGUCGAUUGACGUUACCCGCAGAAGAAGCACCGGCUAACUCCGUGCCAGCAGCCGCGGUAAUACGGAGGGUGCAAGCGUUAAUCGGAAUUACUGGGCGUAAAGCGCACGCAGGCGGUCUGUCAAGUCGGAUGUGAAAUCCCCGGGCUCAACCUGGGAACUGCAUUCGAAACUGGCAGGCUAGAGUCUUGUAGAGGGGGGUAGAAUUCCAGGUGUAGCGGUGAAAUGCGUAGAGAUCUGGAGGAAUAUCCGGUGGCGAAGGCGGCCCCCUGGACAAAGACUGACGCUCAGGUGCGAAAGCGUGGGGAGCAAACAGGAUUAGAUACCCUGGUAGUCCACGCCGUAAACGAUGUCGAUUUUGGAGGUUGUGCCCUUGAGGCGUGGCUUCCGGAGCUAACGCGUUAAAUCGACCGCCUGGGGGAGUACGGCCGCAAGGUUAAAACUCAAAUGAAUUGACGGGGGCCCGCACAAGCGGUGGAGCAUGGGGGUUUAAUUCGAUGCAACGCGAAGAACCUUACCUGGUCUUGACAUCCACAGAACUUUCCAGAAAAUGGAUUGGUGCCUUCGGGAACUGUGAGACAGGUGCUGCAUGGCUGUCGUCAGCUCCUGGUUGUGAAAUGUUGGGUUAAGUCCCGCAACGAGCGCAACCCUUAUCCUUUGUUGCCAGCGGUCAGGCCGGGAACUCAAAGGAAACUGCCACUGAUAAACUGAAGGA